UACGUAGGGGGCAAGCGUUGUCCGGAUUUACUGGGUGUAAAGGGCGCGCAGGCGGGUUGACAAGUCAGAGGUGAAAACCUACAGCUUAACUGUAGAACUGCCUUUGAGACUGUCAAUCUUGAGUACGGAAGAGAGAGAUGGAAUUCCAGGUGUAGUGGUGAAAUACGUAGAUAUCUGGAAGAACACCAGUGGCGAAGGCGGUCUCUUGGUCCAUUACUGACGCUAAGGCGCGAAAGCGUGGGGAGCAAACAGG
Molecule: ribosomal RNA, 253 nt
Filed under: uncultured bacterium
Lineage: Bacteria
Description: partial 16S ribosomal RNA
Rfam family: Bacterial small subunit ribosomal RNA
Source: RNAcentral